GAACGAUUUUCAAUAAUCGUAAAUGAUCUACAUGCUCUCAAGAAGACAUUCACGGAUAGAGAACUUGUUCGAAAAAUUCUUAGAAGUCUCACUCCCGCAUGGCGAUCAAAGGCCGACGCAAUCCAAGAAUCCAUUGGCGUCUCAAAUGUCACCAUCGACCCAUGAAGAGGUAACCUUAAGACUUAUGAGUCUACUAUACUUAACCCUCUUGUUGAUGAUCAAAGGAG
This 227-nucleotide long non-coding RNA is filed under the name Nicotiana benthamiana. RNAcentral's name for it is "long non-coding RNA (NBEN_LNC006280)". Lineage: Eukaryota; Viridiplantae; Streptophyta; Magnoliopsida; Solanales; Solanaceae. The record is from RNAcentral.